CGACAUUUGUUUUAUUAUUGGAAGAAAAGUCGAAUUAUACAAGAAUAGCUAUAAAAGUCGCUGUGUAACCAUUAAUGAAGAUCAAAUAACACUGGAGUACAUGGCUCUCAUAAAUGUACUGUAAGCAAAACAAAAGAAAUGCAAACUGUUUUUUGAAAAAAAAGGAAAGAACGAAAGAAAAGAAAAUAAAAGAAAAAAGAGUGAAAUACAAAAGAUAUAGAAUAUUUAAUUCAUUUGUGGCAUGCAGAGGGAAUUCGUAAUGAUUAGUCGUCGUAGG
RNAcentral lists this long non-coding RNA (277 nucleotides) under Populus trichocarpa (black cottonwood). RNAcentral describes it as "long non-coding RNA (PTRI_LNC003942)". Lineage: Eukaryota; Viridiplantae; Streptophyta; Magnoliopsida; Malpighiales; Salicaceae. The record is from RNAcentral.